This 452-nucleotide ribosomal RNA is filed under the name Lutjanus gibbus (humpback red snapper). RNAcentral's name for it is "partial small subunit ribosomal RNA". It matches the Rfam family "Bacterial small subunit ribosomal RNA", at positions 788 to 1442 of the family's 1533-position model. The record is from RNAcentral. Lineage: Eukaryota; Metazoa; Chordata; Actinopteri; Lutjaniformes; Lutjanidae.
CACUAUGCCUAGCCAUAAACAUUGAUAGCGAACUACACCUGCUAUCCGCCUGGGAACUACGAGCAUCAGCUUGAAACCCAAAGGACUUGGCGGUGCUUUAGAUCCACCUAGAGGAGCCUGUUCUAGAACCGAUUACCCCCGUUCAACCUCACCUUUUCUUGUUUUCUCCGCCUAUAUACCACCGUCGUCAGCUUACCCUGUGAAGGACUCAUAGUAAGCAAGAUUGGCAUAGCCCAAAACGUCAGGUCGAGGUGUAGCGUAUGGAAAGGGAAGAAAUGGGCUACAUUCCCUAACACAGUGAAUUACGAACGAUACAUUGAAAUAUCUAUCUGAAGGAGGAUUUAGCAGUAAGCAGAAAAUAGAGCGUUCCGCUGAAACCGGCCCUGAAGCGCGCACACACCGCCCGUCACUCUCCCCAAGCUUAUAACACUAAGUACCUAAAACCUUAAAAC